UAGAUAGCAUAGUUUUAUUGUCCGAAUAUAUCACCACAAAUAGGGGUGAUAUAUUUUUAAUUAAUAAUGAUGAUAAUAAUAAUAAUAAACUAUUGGUAUUUGGGACAUGUAGCAUGUUAAAGCUCAUAGAAACGUGUGAUAAUGAUACCAUAUAUAUGGAUGGUACAUUUUACGUUGUACCACGACUAUAUUACCAGUUGUAUACAAUUCACGUCUUGUAUCAGGAGACAAUGAUACCUAUUGUAUAUGCCCUCCUUCCCGACAAAACAAGAGCCACCUAUAUAGAUUUAUUUCAAAUUAUUCUAAGGUGCUGCGCCGAGAAUAAUAUCAUAUUUAAUCCUAGAUACGGGCAGACUGAUUUUGAGGCGGCUGCAAUAUCAGCUCUAGGAUUUGUUUUUCCUAAUAUGGUGAUUAAAGGCUGUUUCUUCCAUUUUUCGCAAGCCAUAUGGCGAAAUGUCAGGCAUUAGGCUUAACAGUAGAAUAUAGGGACAAUUCUACUGUUCACAAAGUAGUCAGACGUAUGACUACCUUACCCUUUUGCCGUGAGGAAGAUAUCUCCCGAGUACGAUCAUCGUGUCUUGCCAUGUCAGUUGAAAAUCCUCUGCUAUUAAAUUUUAUGCAAUAUAUGGAUCUGACAUGGCUUUCCAUUAAUGCUUUAUUUCCCCAUAGCAUAUGGACUAGAUAUCAAGUCAAUGGUCCUAGAACAAAUAACCAUUUAGAGGGCUAUCAUCAUAGCAUCAAAAGAAAAACGUUAUGUGCCCAUCCUAACAUUUAUUCUUUAAUUAACAUUUUAAAAAGACAUCAACACGCUUCUGAG
This is a long non-coding RNA of Gordionus sp. m RMFG-2023, 817 nucleotides long. RefSeq lists it as uncharacterized. The transcript is spliced from 3 exons. The record is from RefSeq and is a predicted model, not a curated record. NCBI's taxonomy places the organism in Eukaryota, Metazoa, Nematomorpha, Gordioida, Chordodea, Parachordodidae.